Molecule: non-coding RNA, 149 nt
Filed under: Escherichia coli
Lineage: Bacteria; Pseudomonadati; Pseudomonadota; Gammaproteobacteria; Enterobacterales; Enterobacteriaceae
Description: PK-repZ
Rfam family: Pseudoknot of the regulatory region of the repZ gene
Source: RNAcentral
AAGGAAAACCCCCACUAUUUUUCCUCGAACUUGGCGGAACGCAGAAAAAUAAUGGGGGCCUCACAGAAUACGGGAUAAGUAUAUAUGAAACCGUACCAGAGAUUCAACCCUGUGCAGUGUAUAAAUACACGGCACAAUCGCUCCGCCAU